UUUUAGAUCAUCUGCUGGAAAAAAGGACGAGAAGACGGGAAGCUCAUUUUCCUUUCGAUUUCCCCUGCUUUAAUAUGACUUUCUACUAUAUCUAUGCUCGAUCUCAUCUACGAUUGCGAUUUUCUUUUCUUGUUUGUUUUUUGGACGAUUUAUAAUCUAAAUGAACUUUUAUUCUUUCGUGAAUUUGUGCAAGAGAGGGAUCUYGAUGCUUUGAGGAUCYUAGAAGGAGAGUCCCUUAUUGUUCUUCUCAGGCUAUGAACCACCKGUUGAAAGCCCUAAAUAUCAAUUGAACGGUGAACUUCACAAUAGAAUGGUGUUUUUGCUGUUUGCACUCCGCCAUGGACUCCACAAUGUUUGGAACGAGAAGAAGAAGAAGAUUUGAUUGAACGCCAUGGUGAACGAAUAACUGGAUCUAUC
Non-coding RNA from Momordica charantia (bitter melon), 417 nucleotides. The record is from RefSeq and is a predicted model, not a curated record. NCBI's taxonomy places the organism in Eukaryota, Viridiplantae, Streptophyta, Magnoliopsida, Cucurbitales, Cucurbitaceae.